This is a long non-coding RNA of Rhinolophus ferrumequinum (greater horseshoe bat), 455 nucleotides long. RefSeq lists it as uncharacterized. The transcript is spliced from 4 exons. NCBI's taxonomy places the organism in Eukaryota, Metazoa, Chordata, Mammalia, Chiroptera, Rhinolophidae. The record is from RefSeq and is a predicted model, not a curated record.
GGGGAAUACUUAGACCACAGCCAGGAGAAAUGGAGGAAAAGAUGUUUUCAGGAGCCACGGUGGAGUUGAGUGACAAAAAUGGUGAGGAAAGCAGAUACUCUUCUCCAGCUUAUUGAGUGUGCCUCAUUCCUCAUUCAAGUUCCAGGCCGCAAACAUUUCCUGGGAAACUUCAUGGUGCUUCUUGCUCGAAACAAGAGGAUCUUGUGGUUUGAUAAAAUAUGUUUUGAAUACCCAAGGAGGGCCUCCUUUUGAAGCUUAUACACUGCAGUCUUUCUCAAGAUUUGAAUUUGCUCAGAGAAGAAAGGUUGUGGAUGGCUGGGGAAAGAGGAGGGCACCCAAGUGGCCUAGAAAUAUAUCAUUCCUUUAACAACUGGUACAGCCAUCUUGUCAUUGGAGCCAUAUAUAAGUUUAUGGUUUGAAGUAGAACAGAAGUAGUAUUCAUGGUUCAAUUAAGG